AGUGAACGCUGGCGGUAGGCCUAACACAUGCAAGUCGAACGGCAGCACAGUAAGAUCUUGCUCUUACGGAUGGCGAGUGGCGUAAGGGUGAGGAAUACAUCGUAAUCUACUUUUUCGUGGGGGUUAACGUAGGGAAACCUACUCUAAUAUCGCAUACGACCUACGAGUGCAAGCACGGGAUCUUUGCACCUUGCGCGAUUGCAUAAGCCGGUGUCGGAUUAUCUAGUUGGCGGGGUAAAGGCCCACCAAGACGACGAUCCGUAGCUGGUCUGAGAGGAGGAUCAGCCACACUGGAAGGGAGCAACGGCCCAGCCUCCUACGGGAGGCAGCAGUGGGGAAUAUUGGACAAUGGGCGAAAGCCUGACCCAGCCAGACCGCGUGGGUGAAGAAGGCCUCCGGGUUGUAAAGCCCUUUUUUAGGGAAAGAAAAGCAGCAGGUUGAUACGCAGAUGUUCUGACGGUACCUAAAGAAUAAGCACCGGCUAACUUCGUG
Molecule: ribosomal RNA, 492 nt
Filed under: uncultured bacterium
Lineage: Bacteria
Description: partial 16S ribosomal RNA
Rfam family: Bacterial small subunit ribosomal RNA
Source: RNAcentral